UACAGAGGUGGCAAGCGUUGUUCGGAAUUACUGGGCGUAAAGGGCGCGUAGGCGGUUCGAUAAGUCCCGUGUGAAAUCCCUCGGCUCAACUGAGGAACUGCACGGGAAACUGACGGGCUUGAGUCCGGAAGAGGAGAACGGAAUUCCCAGUGUAGCGGUGAAAUGCGCAGAUAUUGGGAAGAACACCAGUGGCGAAGGCGGUUCUCUGGGACGGUACUGACGCUGAGACGCGAAAGCGUGGGGAGCGAACAGG
Molecule: ribosomal RNA, 253 nt
Filed under: uncultured bacterium
Lineage: Bacteria
Description: partial 16S ribosomal RNA
Rfam family: Bacterial small subunit ribosomal RNA
Source: RNAcentral